RNAcentral lists this ribosomal RNA (546 nucleotides) under Salmonella enterica. RNAcentral describes it as "partial 23S ribosomal RNA". It matches the Rfam family "Bacterial large subunit ribosomal RNA", at positions 2240 to 2785 of the family's 2925-position model. RNAcentral also lists the same sequence under 1 other name. The record is from RNAcentral. Lineage: Bacteria; Pseudomonadati; Pseudomonadota; Gammaproteobacteria; Enterobacterales; Enterobacteriaceae.
CCGGGUUGCGGACAGUGUCUGGUGGGUAGUUUGACUGGGGCGGUCUCCUCCUAAAGAGUAACGGAGGAGCACGAAGGUUGGCUAAUCCUGGUCGGACAUCAGGAGGUUAGUGCAAUGGCAUAAGCCAGCUUGACUGCGAGCGUGACGGCGCGAGCAGGUGCGAAAGCAGGUCAUAGUGAUCCGGUGGUUCUGAAUGGAAGGGCCAUCGCUCAACGGAUAAAAGGUACUCCGGGGAUAACAGGCUGAUACCGCCCAAGAGUUCAUAUCGACGGCGGUGUUUGGCACCUCGAUGUCGGCUCAUCACAUCCUGGGGCUGAAGUAGGUCCCAAGGGUAUGGCUGUUCGCCAUUUAAAGUGGUACGCGAGCUGGGUUUAGAACGUCGUGAGACAGUUCGGUCCCUAUCUGCCGUGGGCGCUGGAGAACUGAGGGGGGCUGCUCCUAGUACGAGAGGACCGGAGUGGACGCAUCACUGGUGUUCGGGUUGUCAUGCCAAUGGCACUGCCCGGUAGCUAAAUGCGGAAGAGAUAAGUGCUGAAAGCAUCUAAG